CUCGCCUUCUGCCAGCGGUCUGGGGGCUCCCAGUUCUGGCAAUCCAUCAUCAAGCUCCUCCCAGUCCUCCGGUUUGGGACCUCGGUCGAGGUGGGGUCCGGCACCGCCACACUCUGCUGGUUCGAUAAAUGGACUGGAGACAUGCCCCUCGUGGCCCGCUUUCCUGACUUGUUCUCAAUCGCGAGUGCCCUACGGAUUUCUGUCGCGACAGCCCUUAUUGACUUAGGGCAACUCGCGUUCUGGAGACCUUUUGGCCCGGCUGAGAACGCGGACUGGCAGGAGCUGCUUGACUGCAUUGCACUACACGAGCCUGAUCUCACGACUGAAGAUGACCGUUCCAGAUGGCGUCUAAAGCCUUCUGGGCAAUUCUCCACUAAAUCUCUCUACCAGGCCAUCGCCCCCUCGCUUGGCCAUGAGGCGCUCACCUCCAUCUGGGAGAUCUGCCUCCCUCUGAAAAUUAGGAUUUUCUUGUGGCAAUGGAUUCUAGGUCGUCUCCCAUCCGGUGUGGAGGUCCUGAAGCGCAAUGGCCCCGGUGAUGGGUGUUGA
Molecule: ribosomal RNA, 546 nt
Filed under: Triticum aestivum (bread wheat)
Lineage: Eukaryota; Viridiplantae; Streptophyta; Magnoliopsida; Poales; Poaceae
Description: partial small subunit ribosomal RNA
Source: RNAcentral